RNAcentral lists this ribosomal RNA (978 nucleotides) under Salmonella enterica subsp. enterica serovar Larochelle. RNAcentral's name for it is "partial 23S ribosomal RNA". It matches the Rfam family "Bacterial large subunit ribosomal RNA", at positions 1181 to 2141 of the family's 2925-position model. Lineage: Bacteria; Pseudomonadati; Pseudomonadota; Gammaproteobacteria; Enterobacterales; Enterobacteriaceae. The record is from RNAcentral.
CUAAACCAUGCACCGAAGCUGCGGCAGCGACACUCAGGUGUUGUUGGGUAGGGGAGCGUUCUGUAAGCCUGUGAAGGUGGCCUGUGAGGGUUGCUGGAGGUAUCAGAAGUGCGAAUGCUGACAUAAGUAACGAUAAAGCGGGUGAAAAGCCCGCUCGCCGGAAGACCAAGGGUUCCUGUCCAACGUUAAUCGGGGCAGGGUGAGUCGACCCCUAAGGCGAGGCCGAAAGGCGUAGUCGAUGGGAAACGGGUUAAUAUUCCCGUACUUGGUGUUACUGCGAAGGGGGGACGGAGAAGGCUAUGUUGGCCGGGCGACGGUUGUCCCGGUUUAAGCGUGUAGGUGUGUGUUCCAGGUAAAUCCGGUUCACUUUAACACUGAGGCGUGACGACGAGGCACUACGGUGCUGAAGCAACAAAUGCCCUGCUUCCAGGAAAAGCCUCUAAGCAUCAGGUAACAUCAAAUCGUACCCCAAACCGACACAGGUGGUCAGGUAGAGAAUACCAAGGCGCUUGAGAGAACUCGGGUGAAGGAACUAGGCAAAAUGGUGCCGUAACUUCGGGAGAAGGCACGCUGACACGUAGGUGAAGUGAUUUACUCAUGGAGCUGAAGUCAGUCGAAGAUACCAGCUGGCUGCAACUGUUUAUUAAAAACACAGCACUGUGCAAACACGAAAGUGGACGUAUACGGUGUGACGCCUGCCCGGUGCCGGAAGGUUAAUUGAUGGGGUCAGCGCAAGCGAAGCUCCUGAUCGAAGCCCCGGUAAACGGCGGCCGUAACUAUAACGGUCCUAAGGUAGCGAAAUUCCUUGUCGGGUAAGUUCCGACCUGCACGAAUGGCGUAAUGAUGGCCAGGCUGUCUCCACCCGAGACUCAGUGAAAUUGAACUCGCUGUGAAGAUGCAGUGUACCCGCGGCAAGACGGAAAGACCCCGUGAACCUUUACUAUAGCUUGACACUGAACAUUGAGCCUUGAUGUGUAG